RNAcentral lists this ribosomal RNA (414 nucleotides) under uncultured archaeon. RNAcentral describes it as "bacterial SSU rRNA". It matches the Rfam family "Archaeal small subunit ribosomal RNA", at positions 72 to 488 of the family's 1478-position model. The record is from RNAcentral.
CAAUACCUGGCAUACGGCUCAGUAACACGUAGUCAACAUGCCCAGGGGACGUGGAUAACCUCGGGAAACUGAGGAUAAACCACGAUAGGUCAUAAUAUCUGGAAUGAUUUAUGGCUAAAAUCUACAUGGCCCCUGGAUUGGACUGCGGCCGAUCAGGCUGUUGGUGAGGUAAUGGCCCACCAAACCUAAAACCGGUACGGGCUCUGAGAGGAGAAGCCCGGAGAUGGGCACUGAGACAAGGGCCCAGGCCCUGUGGGGCGCAGCAGGCGCGAAAACUCUGCAAUAAGCGAAAGCUUGACAGGGUUAUUCUGAGUGAUUUCCGCUAAGGAAAUCUUUUGGCACCUCUAAAAAUGGUGCAGAAUAAGGGGUGGGCAAGCCUGGUGUCACCCGCCGCGGUAAUACCAGCACCCCGAG